UACGGGGGGGGCAAGCGUUGUUCGGAAUUACUGGGCGUAAAGGGCUCGUAGGCGGCCAACUAAGUCAGACGUGAAAUCCCUCGGCUUAACCGGGGAACUGCGUCUGAUACUGGAUGGCUUGAGUUCGGGAGAGGGAUGCGGAAUUCCAGGUGUAGCGGUGAAAUGCGUAGAUAUCUGGAGGAACACCGGUGGCGAAGGCGGGUCUCUGGGCCGUAACUGACGCUGAGGAGCGAAAGCGUGGGGAGCGAACAGG
This 253-nucleotide ribosomal RNA is filed under the name uncultured bacterium. RNAcentral's name for it is "partial 16S ribosomal RNA". It matches the Rfam family "Bacterial small subunit ribosomal RNA", at positions 524 to 776 of the family's 1533-position model. The record is from RNAcentral.